This is a long non-coding RNA of Nymphaea colorata (pocket water lily), 377 nucleotides long. RefSeq lists it as uncharacterized. NCBI's taxonomy places the organism in Eukaryota, Viridiplantae, Streptophyta, Magnoliopsida, Nymphaeales, Nymphaeaceae. The record is from RefSeq and is a predicted model, not a curated record. The transcript is spliced from 3 exons.
AUGUGUUCUUCCCCCUCAUAACAGUGGCUAGAAUGCGUUGGUGUGGCUGCAUUGCGGGAUUUUAGCCAUUUGAGGACCUCUCGAACUUGUGAGGUGGCUGCCGGGAGGACUGCAGCAGUUCAGACUCUUAAAUUGGGGUACACCGAGCACGUCAAGUAGGCCUUGAGCAAUGUGGGUCGUAGUUCAAGGUGUUUAGUGGACGCGCGACAGGUUUUGGAGGACCCGGGGCAGCAGGUUGAUUAGAUGGCUUCACUCACAUCCUACUGGGGAGGUUUUGGGUCUUUGGUAGUGCCGGCGUGUCAUGGUUUGGUCUUUUUGAUGUCUUUGUCAUGGUUUGGUCUUUUUGAUGUCUUAUUUGUGUUAGGCAUCAAAGUUGU